This 24-nucleotide non-coding RNA is filed under the name Arabidopsis thaliana (thale cress). Lineage: Eukaryota; Viridiplantae; Streptophyta; Magnoliopsida; Brassicales; Brassicaceae. The record is from RNAcentral.
CGCACCCGAGUUGUUUUGUCCGAU